Molecule: unclassified non-coding RNA, 153 nt
Filed under: uncultured Massarinaceae
Lineage: Eukaryota; Fungi; Ascomycota; Dothideomycetes; Pleosporales; Massarinaceae
Description: sequence contains ITS2
Source: RNAcentral
GAACCCUCAAGCUUUGCUUGGUGUUGGGUGUUUGUCCCGCCUUUGCGCGUGGACUCGCCUUAAAGUCAUUGGCAGCUAUGUAAUUCGGCUUUGAGCGCAGCACAUUGCGAUCUCUCCGCUGGUACAUUGGCAUCCAGAAGCCUUUUUUUUUAC